UUGAUAAAUGCUGGGAUCUCAGAAGAUGUAAGCCCUAUCCUACCAUUAAGUGUGAUAAAAGCACUAAAGAAAUAUGAUUGGGGUGCCCUAUCUUUUGAUGUAAAACUAUGCAAGACAAAUCUUACCAGCAAAUCGACUAUGCGGGGCCCUGGGGAGGUGCAAGGAUCUUACAUUGCUGAAGCUAUAAUCGAACAUGUAUCGAGUUCACUAUUGUUGGAGGUGGACUUGGUCAGAAAUAAAAAUGCCCAUACAUUUGAAAGCCUCAAUUUUUUCUAUGGUAACAUUGUAUCGGUAGGAGAAUAUACACUGCCUAGUAUCAUGGAUAAGUUGGCUGUGUCCUCGAGCUUUUUCAAACGAAGAGAGAUGAUCAAACAGUUUAACCAGAAAAAUACAUGGAAAAAAAGGGGUAUUUCUCGAGUGCCAAUCGUGCAUGAAGUUUCGCAACGAUCGACCCCGGGGAAAGUCAGUAUUCUGCAAGAUGGAUCGAUUGUUGUAGAGGUUGGAGGGAUUGAAAUUGGCCAAGGGCUAUGGACAAAGGUGAAACAGAUGACUGCCUAUGCUCUUGGUUUAAUUGAAAGUAGUUGGGCCGAAGACCUUGUGGAGAAAGUAAGAGUCAUACAAGCAGACACCUUAAGCAUAGUGCAAGGUGGGUUGACGGCAGGGAGCACUACAUCGGAAUCAAGCUGUGAAGCUGUUAGACUUUGCUGUAAUGUCUUGGUUGAAAGACUGACUCCUUUGAAGAAUCAGUUGCAGGAACAAAAUGUCUCUGUUGACUGGCCAACACUGAUUCGACAGGCACAAAUGCAAUCAGUACACUUAGCAGCACAUUCUUAUUAUGUACCAGAAUCUAGUUCCAAGAAUUAUUUGAACUUCGGCGCUGCUGUCAGUGAGGUGGAGAUAGAUGUUCUGACUGGAGAGACUACCAUUUUGCAGUCGGAUAUUAUUUACGACUGCG
This 955-nucleotide unclassified non-coding RNA is filed under the name Hevea brasiliensis (rubber tree). Lineage: Eukaryota; Viridiplantae; Streptophyta; Magnoliopsida; Malpighiales; Euphorbiaceae. The record is from RNAcentral.